RNAcentral lists this ribosomal RNA (253 nucleotides) under uncultured bacterium. RNAcentral's name for it is "partial 16S ribosomal RNA". It matches the Rfam family "Bacterial small subunit ribosomal RNA", at positions 524 to 776 of the family's 1533-position model. The record is from RNAcentral.
UACGUAGGGGGCAAGCGUUGUCCGGAAUCAUUGGGCGUAAAGGGCGCGUAGGCGGAUAGUUAAGUCUGGUGUGAAAGAUCAGGGCUCAACCCUGAGAGUGCACCGGAAACUGGUUAUCUUGAGGACAGGAGAGGAAAGUGGAAUUCCUAGUGUAGCGGUGAAAUGCGUAGAUAUUAGGAGGAACACCAGUGGCGAAGGCGACUUUCUGGACUGUAACUGACGCUGAGGCGCGAAAGCGUGGGGAGCAAACAGG